This 1989-nucleotide ribosomal RNA is filed under the name human metagenome. RNAcentral describes it as "bacterial LSU rRNA". It matches the Rfam family "Bacterial large subunit ribosomal RNA", at positions 444 to 2431 of the family's 2925-position model. The record is from RNAcentral.
AUGGGGGGACCAUCCUCCAAGGCUAAAUACUCAUCAUCGACCGAUAGUGAACCAGUACCGUGAGGGAAAGGCGAAAAGAACCCCGGGAGGGGAGUGAAAUAGAACCUGAAACCUGAUGCAUACAAACAGUGGGAGCACCCUUAUGGUGUGACUGCGUACCUUUUGUAUAAUGGGUCAACGACUUACAUUCAGUAGCGAGCUUAACCGGAUAGGGGAGGCGUAGGGAAACCGAGUCUUAAUAGGGCGACAUAGUUGCUGGGUGUAGACCCGAAACCGAGUGAUCUAUCCAUGGCCAGGUUGAAGGUGCCGUAACAGGUACUGGAGGACCGAACCCACGCAUGUUGCAAAAUGCGGGGAUGAGCUGUGGAUAGGGGUGAAAGGCUAAACAAACUCGGAGAUAGCUGGUUCUCCCCGAAAACUAUUUAGGUAGUGCCUCGAGCUAGACACUGAUGGGGGUAAAGCACUGUUAUGGCUAGGGGGUCAUUGCGACUUACCAACCCAUGGCAAACUAAGAAUACCAUCAAGUGGUUCCUCGGGAGACAGACAGCGGGUGCUAACGUCCGUUGUCAAGAGGGAAACAACCCAGACCGCCAGCUAAGGUCCCAAAUGAUAGAUUAAGUGGUAAACGAAGUGGGAAGGCCCAGACAGCCAGGAUGUUGGCUUAGAAGCAGCCAUCAUUUAAAGAAAGCGUAAUAGCUCACUGGUCGAGUCGUCCUGCGCGGAAGAUGUAACGGGGCUCAAAUCUAUAACCGAAGCUGCGGAUGCUAGUUUACUGGCAUGGUAGGGGAGCGUUCUGUAGGCCGAUGAAGGUGCAUUGUAAAGUGUGCUGGAGGUAUCAGAAGUGCGAAUGUUGACAUGAGUAGCGAUAAAGCGGGUGAAAAGCCCGCUCGCCGAAAGCCCAAGGUUUCCUACGCAACGUUCAUCGGCGUAGGGUGAGUCGGCCCCUAAGGCGAGGCAGAAAUGCGUAGUCGAUGGGAAACAGGUUAAUAUUCCUGUACUUGAUUCAAAUGCGAUGUGGGGACGGAGAAGGUUAGGUUAGCAAGCUGUUGGAAUAGCUUGUUUAAGCCGGUAGGUGGAAGACUUAGGCAAAUCCGGGUCUUCUUAACACCGAGAAGUGACGACGAGUGUCUACGGACAUGAAGUAACCGAUACCACGCUUCCAGGAAAAGCCACUAAGCUUCAGUUUGAAUUGAACCGUACCGCAAACCGACACAGGUGGGCAGGAUGAGAAUUCUAAGGCGCUUGAGAGAACUCGGGAGAAGGAACUCGGCAAAUUGAUACCGUAACUUCGGGAGAAGGUAUGCCCUCUAAUGUUAAGGACUUGCUCCGUAAGCAUAGGAGGGUCGCAGAGAAUCGGUGGCUGCGACUGUUUAUUAAAAACACAGCACUCUGCAAACACGAAAGUGGACGUAUAGGGUGUGACGCCUGCCCGGUGCUGGAAGGUUAAUUGAAGAUGUGAGAGCAUCGGAUCGAAGCCCCAGUAAACGGCGGCCGUAACUAUAACGGUCCUAAGGUAGCGAAAUUCCUUGUCGGGUAAGUUCCGACCCGCACGAAUGGCGUAACGAUGGCCACACUGUCUCCUCCCGAGACUCAGCGAAGUUGAAAUGGUUGUGAAGAUGCAAUCUCCCCGCUGCUAGACGGAAAGACCCCGUGAACCUUUACUGUAGCUUUGCAUUGGACUUUGAAGUCACUUGUGUAGGAUAGGUGGGAGGCUUAGAAGCAGAGACGCCAGUUUCUGUGGAGCCGUCCUUGAAAUACCACCCUGGUGGCUUUGAGGUUCUAACCCAGACCCGUAAUCCGGGUCGGGGACCGUGCAUGGUAGGCAGUUUGACUGGGGCGGUCUCCUCCCAAAGAGUAACGGAGGAGUUCGAAGGUUACCUAGGUCCGGUCGGAAAUCGGACUGAUAGUGCAAUGGCAAAAGGUAGCUUAACUGCGAGACCGACAAGUCGAGCAGGUGCGAAAGCAGGACAUAGUGAUCCGGUGGUUCUG